RNAcentral lists this unclassified non-coding RNA (5153 nucleotides) under Dendronephthya gigantea. RNAcentral describes it as "tNF receptor-associated factor 3-like, transcript variant X1". Lineage: Eukaryota; Metazoa; Cnidaria; Anthozoa; Malacalcyonacea; Nephtheidae. The record is from RNAcentral.
CCAAGCUCAGAAAGCAUGUGUCCAUCAUCAAUGGGGGAUAUCAUGUGGAUGUCGUGAUGUGAAAUCUGAUAUCGCAUCUUCCUACUCUCAGGAUCCAGAAUCAGUUGGAUCUUGGAGUUGAAGAAGUAAGAAGCCCAAGAAGUAAAUUGGCUAAGUAUUUUUCUUUUCUGCCGCGGUGAAGUACCUAUAUAUUAUGGUUGCAGAUUUUGAAUAUAUCAAGAAAAUUUUUUUUUGAUGGAUUUAUUAGCCUUUAAAGUUACUGGACAUGACGUUAAAUCCAGAAUUUCGUGCAACUUAAACGAAAGAAAACUGAUUUGCAAUUCCCGAUUUGAUGUCAUGUCCGGUAACUUUAACUUUUAAUUGUUAAAUGCAUCAAGACAUAAUUUUUUAAUAACAAAAAUUGCAAAAGUUUUUUAAUAUACCUUAAACUUUUGAUAUAUUCAAAAUCAGCAAUCAUGGCAAAGGCUGUUAAAUAGCUUAGCGCAUUUAGAUUUAGAUUCCGUAGACUGUCGGCAGCAUUUUUACUGUCGAUGUUAUCAUUAUAUUCUUACCAUCGCUUGGCGGAGUUGUACAAAUAAACAAAUAAGUUACUUAUAGUGCGGACUAAAAUCUAAAGUCAAAGAUGUUUUAAUUUAAUCAUCCACGGAAUCUAAAUGCGCACCGCUAAAUUAUCGUCCCGUUUUCUUAAAGUUCACUGAUUGACAUACAGUGACAGUUUCUUUCUAGUGUUUCCAUCUGCGCUGCUUACGGAAGAUCUUUCCAAAAUUUCAUUUUACUUUAUACGAGUUAGUAAAUUUCAAUUCAGAAUACUGUAAAACGAGUGGAAGUGGCGAAUGUGCAGUAUUCGACAUUUUGGAUCCAGGUUAUUUUCUCAUAAAUUUUUGGAGGACACUUAUUUUCCUUUUUUUAUUUUACCGAAAUUGUGAUGCGGUGAUGGAUGAAUUUGGAUGUGGUUACUCCUGUGAAACAUUGCUGUGAUCUACGGAGAUCUCGCUAAUGAUAUCACAAAUGGAGAAAUUAACCGUAUUUGCAUGAUGUUUGAUUCCUCAAAGCUUGCGGAUUGGAGAUGGUACUUUUUAUGAACGUACUCAACCAGAAAUAAAUUAUGAGCAGUUUCACGGAUGGAUUCGUUCUCGGUCCUCAUUAUUCCUACUAUUCAAUUAAGAAUGUGUCAUGAUUAAUUUCCCUGAUGGUUCUUUCUUUGUCUACAUUAUUCCUACUACUAGAAAUACAUGCAUGCAAAAUCCCCUCGCCUGAGGCCAUAAACAUAUAUUUCCAACAAGGUGAAAUUCUAUAAUACUCGUUUCCGCUGAAUAAUCGAAGUCGUAUAAGUAAAAUCCUAUAUCAAGUACAAUUAUAAAGUCGACUCUCGACCUAUCAAAUUCAACUAUAAUUCAAAGAGGUGUCAUACAUUUGUUGAUAUCGUAUUCCUGGGAUGCCUAUGAUUAAACUUACAAAAUACUUCCAUGCUUUAUAUACUUAAACACUUGCAACAUUUACCUGUACAAAAAUGCUUCGAAAUCGUAGAUUUUUUACCACCCAUUUGAAUCAAAGUUUUUUUGUAUCCGAAGGCAUCUUUUACAUCCUCUUUUUUUAAGUGCUCCUGGCAGAAAAAUUAGUUUUACAUUUUUAGAAUCUUUAUUAGCAGUUUAUAUUCUGUUCAAAAACUGAAUUGCAAUUGCGACUUUAGUUUAGAGUUACUACCACAACAUAGCAUUUGGCAAAAAAAAAACGCACAAAAGGGAUUGGUACAAAAUCAUUGAGGUGACGUCACAAUAGGAACCGCGGUUUCACUCAUUUAAAUUUCAAGCGUGUAUUAAUCACAUGUUGUUGUAAGAAAGGUGACGACGCAAAAAAGUCACGCAAGAAAACAUGCCGAAUAGAUGUUUUGUCGGGGGUUGCUCUAAUACCUCUAAUGCCAACAAAGGAAUUUCCCUUCAUUUUAUAUUUUUUCUGGCGACGAAAGGCCAGAAACAAAAAAGAGACGAAAGCAGUGGAUUGAUUUCGUGUGGUUAAAGCGGGCAAAAUGGGAUCCGACUCCCAAUGCGAGUAAUUGUUCAGCGCAUUUUGACAAGAAAGAUUUACCACAAAUGUUUUCUGGUUUCUCUGGUGAAGUACCGCGGUUAGCCACCGAUGAAAUUGACGUAGUCGCAGCCCCUAAGUAUCACGCAGUAACUGCAGAGACAGAGGUCAAACCUUCGUCUGCGAGAGCUAGGAGAAUGGUUGUAAAAGAAGCGUUGUCUGUUAAUGUUACCGCCCAAGGCGAAGAGCCGCAUUAACCUUGCCGCGAAGUAGGAAGCAGACCCAUUUGAACACACAAUGGAAAAUAUUGGAGAACAACUGCCAAAAAACGCAUCUCCGAACAAAACAAACAGCGUUUCAACUGGGACAGACGGUUGUGUUCGUUGUGCGUAUUUAAACGGAAGACUUGGAACAAGUAUAUAGCGCUUAAAAGCAAAUACGAUGAAUUGGUGAAAGUUAAACAUUCCAAAGGUGUUCAGUGCAAUAUACUAAAUGUGGAAGAACCAAGCCGUGCUGAAAUGCUCCUUACACUUCCCGAACCGGGCAGUGAAGAGACAGGAGAUGAUAUGGGCACCAGCGACGAGGAUUUCCAAUGCGGAGAUGAAAGUGAGUCUAAUCAGAAUUAGGAGACGAAGGCACAAGUAAUCCCACUGAGAACCUACGCUAGCAACCUAAAUACAUCAUUUUCCUGUAACAGUUGCUGUUGCUGUUUAAGUUUUGCCAUUAUGCAAAGCAGAUAACUCUCUUGUUGAAACCACGACGAAUGGAACCCUGCUAAAUUGUGAGGACAACUUGUGACAAUCCCGUUUGUAGCAAAAAAAACAACAUAUGGAGAAGUCAACCACUGAUGCCUACGACAAAAGUAAACGCUUGCGAUUUCCUGCUAAGUUUAGCUAUUCUUGUAUCUCCCACAAGUGCAUGUUUCGACACAUGGGACUUGUUGGAAUGUGCAAUGAAUCUUACUAUGGACACCAAAGGAAAAUAUUGUUUUCAACAAAAUAUUGUUUUCAACAAUCUUUCUUCACUGGGAAGAUUACCGAAGUAAGAUUCUGGAUUGGUUACAAGCAUUGGAAUCUUUGGUUAUUUCUGGUGAUGGACGGCAUAAUAGCAUGGGGCAUAUAGUGCAAAAUAUGGUGCUUACACAAUAUUUUGCUGUACGUCUGCUGAAAUAAUUGAUUUUAGUUCGAUCCAGAGAAAUGAAGUUGGAUUAUUGGAAGCAGCCCUGCGAUGGAAUUUAAAUGGUUCCAAAGAUGUUUGAACUUUCUCCUAGAUGUAAACCUGGGCAUUUCCACCUUUAUCUCAGACAGACAUCAAACAAUAUCGAAAAACAUGAGAGAGAAACUACCAAAGAUAACACAUUAUUUCGACAUAUGGCACUUAAAAAAGAAGCUGCAUAAGGUCUUUACUAAGCUGGCUAAAGAGGCAGAUUGUGAAGAACUGGCAGAAUUAAUGGAUACAACCCUGUAUAAACCACCUUUACUGGAGUGCCACAUCCACUUACUCAAGAGAUGGCAGGAUUAUACUGGCAAGGUUAAUUCCUUGGUCAUAUUGUUGACAAACAUGAUGGGUUUGAUGAUGUGUUCAAUGUGUUCAUGGUGAACUGACUCCGAGAAAUGGAUUCUACCUGAUUCUCCAGCCUACACAAAACUAAGUGGUGCUAUGCUAAAGACGUCCUUUGGUAAGGGCAUUGAACAAGCUUUACCAUUAGACCAAACUAGUUGUUUGGAAGCUUUCCACUCUGUUGUCAAUCAGUUCUCCCCAAAAAUUGAAUGCUUAUUCAUUUGCUGGUAUAUACUGCAGACACAUCCUAACAGCAAUCCAUUUUAAUGCCAACUUAUGUCGUAAGACAAAACUCUAUGAAGAUGGUACACCACAGGUCAAGGUUUCUUAUCCGAAGUUAAGGGUGGUGAUGCCACUGUUAAAGAAAGCAAAGUAAAACAAAACUUUGAAUAUGUGGAAGAGAUAUAGUCAGACCUUUCUAAAAGCAUCGGGAGAUAGCUCAUUGAAAAAGCUUGGGAAAACACCUGCCCCCAUGAAUAUCGUGUUUGAAAACAAAGAAUCCAAAGAAACUGCCAUCAAAAAACAGAAGGCAAGAAAAAAUCUUGUUGUGGAAGAUGUUCCUCCAACAACACCAAUUUCAGUUGUUAUUGCUCAAGAAUAGGCAGCAAAGGCUGCUAAAGCAACCUCUGGCAGAGCAGCUUCAAGGUGUUUCUUGUGCAAGAAUUUGAUGAAAGGACACAAAGAAGUAAAGGAUUGUCCCAAAAAUCAAAAGCAAACACAGCAGUAAAACGAAAUCAGUUGAAGAAUAAAUGUACAUAUAGUUUUCUGAAAUAAUAUAUAAUGUGGAGUAUUAUAACAUAGCUAUAGCAUUAGUAAUAUAUAUAUACACAAAUUGUCAAGAUCUAUCCUCUUCUUCUACAAAUCCUACAAAGUCUUCAUUGUCUGUAGUUAGGAAAUGACGUCUUAUUCUUUCAUAUGCACGCGCACACUAUUUCCCUGUUUCCCAGAUGCCAAAAACGACCACACAAAACUUUUGUAGGCUGUGCUUCGAUAGAAUCUACAAAUAAUAGAGCAUGUUUAAUGGUACCAACAUGUCAGUACAGUGUGAUUGUGCAUUUAAAUUUCAUGUGUAUAAUGUACUUACUUAUCUUCUGUGCUUGUUUGGCGGUAUUGUUCUUUCUUCCUUGUGCGUAAUUUGGUUGCCGUUAAACGAAGCAACCACUUGUCUAAGCAUGCGCUGUUAAAUUAACCCAGGAAGGUCGACAAUGCAAGAUGGAGGGUUUUCCGUUUCCAGCUGCUGCAAUGCAAGCUCGCUAUUUAGCGCUUCUUCACACUCUUCGAUUUCUACGCAACACUGACAUCUUUAGCAUUGUGAAGGAGUUCAAUAGGACAGUUGCCACACUUAUACCUGGAAUAAAAUCUGUACCGACAAAGCAAAGACAGUUAACACGCAAAUAUAAAAGCGGGGAAAAUAUACCUUCUUUUCUUUGAUACCAUCAAUUAGGUCUCGGGUGAAAUUCCUUUAAACGCUCGUCAUAAGUUUUCUUUUUUUUCCAGGGAGUUAGCGAGCGACUCUGUCAGCCGCCGGUUCAUUUGCAUACGAACCAAGUUCUGAUGUUUCGUCUGUAGUU